ACACUGCUGAGGAGUCCCAUAACAGGACGAAACGGCCGUCCAGUGC
Molecule: non-coding RNA, 46 nt
Organism: Schistosoma rodhaini
Lineage: Eukaryota; Metazoa; Platyhelminthes; Trematoda; Strigeidida; Schistosomatidae
Source: Rfam